This 2952-nucleotide ribosomal RNA is filed under the name Eriocheir sinensis (Chinese mitten crab). Its description in RNAcentral is "bacterial LSU rRNA". It matches the Rfam family "Bacterial large subunit ribosomal RNA". The record is from RNAcentral. Lineage: Eukaryota; Metazoa; Arthropoda; Malacostraca; Decapoda; Varunidae.
AAUUAAAUAUAAGAGAGAAGAUGUUUGGAUUGCUUUGUGCAAGUAAGAGGCGCCAAUUGAUUAUGGUACGCUUAUAUAUCUCUGCUGAGAAUAAGUGCAUGUGUGGUCAGCUGAGAUGAGAGGUUUGGAUCCAUUGGAAGAUUAUCCACGAAGCAUAUCGGGUAACUCCCACCGUGAAUCAUCUCAUACUUGUUAAUCCUAUCUGUAAUUCAAUAUAUAUCCGUGUAUUACUGAUAUACAGUUGUACUAUUUGAUCGCCUGAAUACAUUAAGGGGUUUUUAAGAGCGAACCCCGGGGAACUGAAAACAUCUAAGUACCCGGAGGAAAGGAAAAUCAAAUAGAGACCUCCGCUAGUAGUGGCGAGGACAAAGCCCGGACCAGGACCGAGCCAUUGUAAGAAAUGACCAGAAACACGUGGAAGACGGACCAAUAGCGGGAUGACAGCCCGUAUGGAGAAGAAUUCAUUAUUGGACGUAUCAAGUAGGGCGGGACACGUAAGAACAAUCCUGUUCUGAAGAAAUCGGGGGACCACCCCCGAAGAAGCUAAGUACUUUAUGAUACCGUUACUGAUCCGAUAAGCGAAACCAGUACCGGUGGAGGGAAAGGUGAAAAGCACCCACCGACGAGGGGAGUGGAAACAGUUUCUGAAACUCGGACGCCUUACAAGCAAGAAGAGGAGGCCUCGUAUGCCCUGGAGGCGGCAGUAUCUAUUUGUAAUAAUGGGUAUCCAACGUUACUUGGUUCUAUACGAGCAAGCUUUAGCCGAUAGGGUGUAGGCGUAGGAAAAAGCGAGUAUUAAAAGGGCGUUUAGUUCGUAGGAUCAGAACCGCUGAACACCAGAUGAUCUAGGCCAUGAAAGCAGGAAAAUGAAGGUAAGGUACACUUACUGAAGAGUCCGAAGACACCCGUUGAAAAGGGUUCUCCGGAUGACUGUGGCUUUCCAGGGGUACGCAAAGGCUAAUCAAAUUCUUUGGAGAUAGCUGGUUUCUCCGCGAAAGCUAUUUUAGGUAGCGCCUCGGACGAAUACCUACGGGGGUAGAAGCAACUAACAUAGGUGAUGGGGUCCCCACAGACUUACUGAAGCCUAAGUAAACUCCGAAUACGUAGAGUACUAUCCGGGAGAACACAAUCGGGUGCUAACCGUCCGUGUGAAGAGGGAAACAACCCUGACCUACAGCUAAGGCCCCUAAUUCGUGGCUAAGUGGGAAAGCAUGUGGGAUUUCCAAAACAACCAGGAGGUUGGCUUAGAAGCAGCCAUCCUUUAAAGAUAGCGUAACAAGCUCCACUGGUCUAGUUAAGAGAUCCUGCGGCGAAGAUGUAACGGGGCUUCAAGCCACGAAGCCGAAGCUUAGAUGCAACAGGCAUGUGGCGUGGUAGCGGAGGCGUUCUUGUGAUAUAGCACCAGUCCGACCCUUUAGCUUUCCGCGAGGAAAGUCAUUGGUCGGGAAGGGUGCUUACUGUGAAGCCGGGGCCGUGAAGGCAUCCGGUGGAGUUUGCAUCAGAAGCUGAGAAUGUGACAUGAGUAGCGACAAACAGGGUGAGAGACCCUGUCGCCGUAAGUCCAAGGGUUCCUGCUUAAGCUUAAUCUGAGCAGGGUGAAGCCCGACCCCCUAAGGCGAGGCCGAAAGGCGUAGUCGAUGGGAAAACCAGGUUAAUAUUCCUGGGCCAGGAGGAUGUGACGGAUUUCGAAGGUUGUCUUGCCCCCUUAUCGGAUUGGGUGGCCGCUUAGAGGUUCCUGGAAAUGCCCUCCAUUAGAUCGUACCCUAAACCGACACAGUGGACUGGGUAGAGAAUACCAAGGCGUCUUGAGAGAACCACGUUUAAGGAACUCGGCAAAAUGCUCCCGUAAAGUUCGCGAGAAGGGAGCCCCGUCUGUAAGGCAAACUAUGGGGUGGGGGCACAGACCAGGGGGUGGCGACUGUUUACUUAAAACACAGGGCUGUGCGAGCCGUAAGGCGACGUAUACAGUCUGACGCCUGCCCGGUGCUGGAAGGUUAAAAAGGAGGGGUGCAAGCUCCGAAUUGAAAGCCCCAGUAAACGGCGGCCGUAACUAUAACGGUCCUAAGGUAGCGAAAUUCCUUGUCGGGUAAGUUCCGACCUGCAACGAAUGGCGUAAACGAUCUCCCCGCUGUCUCAAACGUGGACUCAGCGAAAUUGGAAACUGUGUGUCAAGAUGCAACACUUUCCCGCGGUUAGACGAAAGACCCAAUGCACCUUUACUAUAGCUUCGCACUGGCAUCAGGAUUGUGAUGUGCAGGAUAGGUGGUAGGCUUUGAAGCGGGAACGCUAGUUUUCCGUGGAGCCUCCCUUGAGAAUACCACCCUUCGCACUCUUGAAAUGUCUAACCGCGGUCCGUUAAAUCCGGAUCCGGGACCCUGCGUGGUGGUAGUUUGCUGGGGCGGUCGCCUUCCCAAAAGUAAAACGGAGGCGCGCGAAGGUUGGCUUCAGAGCGGUCGGAAAUCGCUCGUUGAGUGCAAUGGCAGAAGCCAGCCUGGACUGCGAGACUGACAAGUCGAGCAGAGUCGAAAAGACGGCCAUAGUUGAUCCGGUGGUCCCCAGUGGCGAGGGCCAUCGCUCAACGGAUAAAAGGUCGCUGGUUUGGAUCAACAGGCUGAUGAUGCCCAAGAGUCCAUAUCGACGGCAAUCGUUUUUGGCACCUCGAUGUCGGCUCAUCUCAUCCCUGGGCUGGAGCAGGUCCCAAGGGUAUGGCUGUUCCGCCAUUUAAAGAGGUACGUGAGCUGGGUUUAGAACGUCGUGAGACAGUUCGGUCCCUAUCUGCCGUGGGUGUAGGAAUACUUGAGAGGAGUUGCCCUAGUACGAGAGGACCGGGGUGAACGUUCCACUGGUGGACCCAGUUGUCGUGCCAACGGCAGUGCUGGGUAGCUAUGAACGGACAGAUAACCGCUGAAGGCAUCUAAGCGGGAAGCCCCCUCAAACAAGGUAAUCCCUUGA